CCUACGGGAGGCAGCAGUGAGGAAUAUUGGUCAAUGGACGCAAGUCUGAACCAGCCAUGCCGCGUGCAGGAAGACGGCUCUAUGAGUUGUAAACUGCUUUUGUACGAGGGUAAACGCAGAUACGCGUAUCUGUCUGAAAGUAUCGUACGAAUAAGGAUCGGCUAACUCCGUGCCAGCAGCCGCGGUAAUACGGAGGAUUCAAGCGUUAUCCGGAUUUAUUGGGUUUAAAGGGUGCGUAGGCGGUCGGAUAAGUUAGAGGUGAAAUCCCGAGGCUCAACUUCGGAAUUGCCUCUGAUACUGUUCGGCUGGAGAGUAGUUGCGGUAGGCGGAAUGUAUGGUGUAGCGGUGAAAUGCUUAGAGAUCAUACAGAACACCGAUUGCGAAGGCAGCUUACCAAGCUACUUCUGACGUUGAGGCACGAAAGCGUGGGGAGCAAACAGGAUUAGAUACCCUGGUAGUC
This 460-nucleotide ribosomal RNA is filed under the name uncultured bacterium. RNAcentral's name for it is "partial 16S ribosomal RNA". It matches the Rfam family "Bacterial small subunit ribosomal RNA", at positions 338 to 795 of the family's 1533-position model. The record is from RNAcentral.